GGCAGUGAUGGUUUGGUGGUUAAGGCUCUGGGUUCCUGAUCAGGUUCCUGAUCAGGGGUUCAAGUCCCAGCACUGCCA
Molecule: non-coding RNA, 78 nt
Organism: Ameiurus melas (black bullhead)
Lineage: Eukaryota; Metazoa; Chordata; Actinopteri; Siluriformes; Ictaluridae
Source: the annotation of a GenBank genome assembly